GGAGAUAUAGCUUGGUGGUAGAGUGUGUGCUUAGCUUGCAGGAAGGUACUGGGUUCAAUCCCUAGUACCUUCA
RNAcentral lists this transfer RNA (73 nucleotides) under Camelus bactrianus (Bactrian camel). It matches the Rfam family "tRNA". From Rfam's summary of the family: Transfer RNA (tRNA) molecules are approximately 80 nucleotides in length. RNAcentral also lists the same sequence under 2 other names. The record is from Rfam by way of RNAcentral. Lineage: Eukaryota; Metazoa; Chordata; Mammalia; Artiodactyla; Camelidae.